Molecule: small nuclear RNA, 103 nt
Organism: Nomascus leucogenys (northern white-cheeked gibbon)
Lineage: Eukaryota; Metazoa; Chordata; Mammalia; Primates; Hylobatidae
Source: Ensembl
CUGCUUCAGCAGCAGAUAUACUAAAAUUGGAACGAUACGGAGAAAAUUAGCAUGACCCUUGUGCAAGGAUGACACGCAAAUUUGUGAAGCACUCCAUAUUAAA